GACAUGAACCACUGGCUGAGAAACAUCCUGAUUCUGACUCUCUGGCUAGAGUGUAAAGGAGAAGACAGAGUGACCCAGCCAGCAGGAGAUGUCAUUGCUGCUGAAGGAGACACAGUUACACUUGGCUGUACUUUUGAGACGAGUAGAACAGGUCCAGCUUUGUUCUGGUACAAACAGGAUGGAGACAACAGCCCCAAAUUCAUACUGAGCCGCGUUCAACAGGAUGAUGGGAAAACAGAGGAAGAGUUUAAAGAAAGAUUUUCAUCCACACUGAAUUCCACCUCAAGAUCAGUUCCUCUGAAGAUCCAGAAGCUUCAGCUGUCUGACUCUGCUGUGUACUACUGUGCUCUGCAGCCCACAGUGACAGGAAACACCUUUGCCUUCAAACAGCAGUUCUCCUAA
Molecule: non-coding RNA, 402 nt
Organism: Micropterus salmoides (largemouth bass)
Lineage: Eukaryota; Metazoa; Chordata; Actinopteri; Centrarchiformes; Centrarchidae
Source: the annotation of a RefSeq genome assembly